ACGCUCGACACCUACUGGAGGCAGCAGUGGGGGAUAUUGCACAAUGGGGGAAACCCUGAUGCAGCAACGCCGCGUGAAGGAAGAAGGUCUUCGGAUUGUAAACUUCUGUCCUCAGGGAAGAUAAUGACGGUACCUGAGGAGGAAGCUCCGGCUAACUACGUGCCGGCAGCCGCGGUAAGUACUGAGCGGGCGUGGCGAAGGACG
RNAcentral lists this ribosomal RNA (204 nucleotides) under uncultured bacterium. RNAcentral's name for it is "partial 16S ribosomal RNA". It matches the Rfam family "Bacterial small subunit ribosomal RNA", at positions 328 to 544 of the family's 1533-position model. The record is from RNAcentral.